Molecule: ribosomal RNA, 404 nt
Filed under: uncultured Phyllobacteriaceae bacterium
Lineage: Bacteria; Pseudomonadati; Pseudomonadota; Alphaproteobacteria; Hyphomicrobiales; Phyllobacteriaceae
Description: bacterial SSU rRNA
Rfam family: Bacterial small subunit ribosomal RNA
Source: RNAcentral
UGAGGAAUAUUGGACAAUGGGCGCAAGCCUGAUCCAGCCAUGCCGCGUGAGUGAUGAAGGCCCUAGGGUUGUAAAGCUCUUUCACCGGUGAAGAUAAUGACGGUAGCCGGAGAAGAAGCCCCGGCUAACUUCGUGCCAGCAGCCGCGGUAAUACGAAGGGGGCUAGCGUUGUUCGGAAUUACUGGGCGUAAAGCGCGCGUAGGCGGAUUGUUAAGUUAGGGGUGAAAUCCCAGGGCUCAACCCUGGAAUGGCCCUUAAUACUGGCAGUCUCGAGUUCGGGAGAGGUGAGUGGAAUUCCGAGUGUAGAGGUGGAAUUCGUAGAUAUUCGGAGGAACACCAGUGGCGAAGGCGGCUCACUGGACCGAUACUGACGCUGAGGUGCGAAAGCGCGGGGAGCAAACAGG